Molecule: ribosomal RNA, 497 nt
Filed under: uncultured bacterium
Lineage: Bacteria
Description: partial 16S ribosomal RNA
Rfam family: Bacterial small subunit ribosomal RNA
Source: RNAcentral
GAUGAACGCUGGCGGCGUGCCUAAUACAUGCAAGUCGAGCGAACAGACGAUGAGCUUGCUCCUCUGACGUUAGCGGCGGACGGGUGAGUAACACGUGGAUAACCUACCUAUAAGACUGGUAUAACUUCGGGAAACCGGAGCUAAUACCGGAUAAUAUAUUGAACCACAUGGUUCAAUAGUGAAAGACGGCUUUGCUGUCACUUAUAGAUGCAUCUGCGCCGCAUUAGCUAGUUGGUAAGGUAACGGCUUACCAAGGCAACGAUGCGUGGCCGACCUGAGAGGCUGAUCGGCCGCACUGGAACUGAGACACGGUCCAGGCUCCUACGGGAGGGAGCAGUAGGGAAUCUGCCGCAAUGGGCGAAAACCUGACGGAGCAAGGCCGCGUGAGUGAUGACGGUCUUCGGAUCGUAAAACUCUGUUAUUAGGGAAGAACAAAUGUGUAAGUAAAUAUGCACGUCUUGACGGUACCUAAUAAGAAAGCCACGGCUAACUACGUG